This 2802-nucleotide unclassified non-coding RNA is filed under the name Hevea brasiliensis (rubber tree). Lineage: Eukaryota; Viridiplantae; Streptophyta; Magnoliopsida; Malpighiales; Euphorbiaceae. The record is from RNAcentral.
CAAAUCAAUCCUAACAUUGCUUACCGCAAUAUCCUCUUCCUUCAGGAACACAACACCAUUUUUCCGUGAAUUUGAAGCCCUUAAUACCCCAGAUUAUUGAUUACAAACAGCAGGGGAAACAUUUUAAACAAAUGCACGCAUAUGUUUAUAGGACCAAGUUUUUGUGACAACCAGGGAACAAACAUUAUCCUGUGAACUGUGAAGUGACAUCUUUGAAAUUCUCUACUUUGUCCCUAGGAACAGCAUGCUCAUUACAAACUGACAUAGAGAAAUGAAACACCUUUUACUAUUAUCAAGUGCAUAAUAAAGGAGCACUAACAUCACAUACACUAUAAAAACAUAAGAUUCAUAAUUUACAUGCCUUCCAUGAGACAAUAGUAAUAUUAAAAUGGAUGCCAGAUGUUCUUAAUUGAGAGGAAAAUGUAGGUAAGCCAUUAGCAAAGCUUCUUUACCUGGUACAAAUAUCUCCUGCGUAUGCAGGGGAUCAUGUCCCUAGAUACACUUAGGUGGAUUUGGACCGUCAUACUAUGAGAAACAAGAGCCACCUAUAUCCAGGACAAUGCCAAACUAAUAAUUGUCCCCCUUCCUGCUAACCAUUGGGGUAUGCUGUUUUGUUAAAUAAAAAGUAACGAUCCAUGUUCUUCAUUACAUAUGGAUUUAUGUUAAAUAUGUGAGAACACUAAUAGGGACUAGAUUCCAAGAUAGAAGUUCAUAGGAGAAUAUAUAGAGGGAUCAAAAUAUGAUCAUGGCAUGACUAAGCCAAAAAAUUGGCAUGGCAAGAGUAGACCUAAUUGUUAGCAUGACAUGGUUGGAAAUUUAGACUUCCACACAAUGCCACAUAGAAAAACCCAGUGGAGAUUCCGACCACAACAUCGGAGCAAUAAUCAUACCUUCUUUCCACACCAAAUUUAAGUAUCUUAAGCUAAUAUUAUAAAUAUACAAAACAUAUAAUAUGUAUAAAUGCAUAUAAAUAUUUAAAAAUACAAAGAAAUACGCAAACUUAAAUACAUACAUAUAACUUGUGUGAGAUAUCACACAAAAUAAAGCAGUCAACAUGAAGGUGCACAGCAUCUACAUAUCAGUCAUUUGACAUGACUAUCCAAUACAAUUCUGCGCUUUUUAUUUUACUCUUUGUUUUUCUUUUUCCUUAUUUUUUAUGGAUAGUUAUCAUGUUAAGAAGUAUCAUGCGAUGAAAUACAAGAAAAGCUUCCAAGCAUGAACACACAACUAAAACUUCUGAAGCAGCCAGUUGAUGCAAAAAUGUGAAAUUUUACAAAUGAAUUAAGAUUACCUUCUUGAAUCACAGUUAAGCACAAUGGUGUGAUGGCCUUUUUCUUUCUUUUGUUUUUACAUUCUAACAUCUUUUGAAUACAAUAAGUAAUACAAUUGUUUGUGUCUAAAGCUCGCAUAAGAAUGCUAUUGGUAGUCACCUAGUCACUAGAAAUGAUGUGGCAUCAUUUCAAAUUCAGAGUCAAUAUCAAUAUCAUGCUCUUCAAAAUAUGACCAGCCAUUUUCGUGGACAUUUGUUCAUGAAACCUAGGAAUACAAUUACAUCAAAAACAGAUAAGGGAGAUAACCUGCAAACUCAUAAAAGCUUUGAAAUCUUUUCUAUUUAUUGGGAAAUAGCAUUUUAGAUAGCAAGAUUUGAGAGAAUCAAAUUCAUCUAAGAAAACAAAAAAAAAGCUCUAAGGCUCCUCCAACAUUAGAGAUCCACUGGUUGCACCAAAAAGUAACCUCUCAAACUACGACCUUAAGGAACCUGAUAACUAAAUUGCAGUUUAAGUGAAAGACAAAUGACAACAUAUGCAGAAGUUCAAAAACUUGUUCCAAGUUCCAACUUCGAAGUACACGUAUAGAUCUUACAUUCAUGAAAUGCAUAAAGCAUCAACUGAUAUGAAAACAUACUAUUCAAGCAGAAACAUGUAUUCAUGAAAUUGGAGGCUGAUGUUUCAUUAUGUUAACUGAAACUCUGAAUGUAGUCCAUCUAAGACAUAAAAACAUUAUAUUUUUCACCAUUUAUAACACUGGGGAGAAACUCGCAUUGAAACAAGUGAUAAAGGACCACGGCCCACAUCAUGCGGCAGAAGUCCUACAAUUGGAUGAACAGAUAAUAGGACUAAAAAACUAAAAACCAGUUUCAUAUAGAGGCAGUUCAAGUUAAACCCAACAAAUCACCUGCAAGCUUCACUGUCUGAACAUCAAAGUAAUCGAUGCCUAGCUCCAAACCCCCUGAUAAUUUUUCAGCCUUUCCACAGCAUCACCAGCAAGCCAAUAUACCAUGAAGGGAGGGCUCAAACCUAGAAUACAGAGCCCCAGGAUAAACCAUGUGGGUUGCACCUAAAACACAACGAAAGUGUAUUUUACCUACAUGAUGUAAACUGUAUAAUGACAUUAUCAUUAAACCAUUUAAAACCCAGAGUGUAUUUGAGCAAUUCCUUGACACUAAAUACAUCUAACCAGAAAAAUAGUCUCAGACAUUACUCUAAGCUAUAUUCAAACUAAAUACCAAAGGACAAUACAUUUUAUGAUUUAAUCAUAAUUUUGUUUUAGUAUUUUAAGCAAAGAACAGAAAAGACACCUUCACCUAGUUGCUUGAGCUCCCGAAGCCUGUUAUACCAAAAAAAGAAAGAGUAAAAAAUUAUUGCCCGGUGACAAAGGAUGAACUUGCCUCUCAAACAGCUCGGUAUCCAUAGACUUCAAACAGCAGGGAUCGAGAUAGAAGUUGCCAUGGACAAUGUCAUGAACUUGCUCGAGUAAUUGGAGAUUGUGAGCACUGACGGAGGCAUUAAGGGUCCAAGGGGU